RNAcentral lists this long non-coding RNA (472 nucleotides) under Nicotiana benthamiana. Its description in RNAcentral is "long non-coding RNA (NBEN_LNC017851)". Lineage: Eukaryota; Viridiplantae; Streptophyta; Magnoliopsida; Solanales; Solanaceae. The record is from RNAcentral.
GGACUUGAUGGCGAGAUUUGUGGGGUCCAGCCUCUAUGGAACAUGUUUUUCUUCCUUUCUUCUUCAUUUGUCAAUAUUGGCUACCCAGCAGCCCAUGUUUUUCUUUAUCUUUUGCACAUGUCAAAUUUGGCAGGCGUGCAGAAAAAAACUGUCAAAAGUGGUUGGCUUCAUUUUGCCUAUAAAAUGAGAGCUUCGGCUCUCAUUUUUUACACCACCAACAAAAUAGAGAAAGAAAGAGUGAGGUUUCAUAGACAUGGUAUAAGAAAAUAGUUUGUGAAGAAAAUAGAGAGUGUGAGCGAUAUUGUAGUGAGGCAAAAUAUCAAAAGAGGGUUAUUUCUUUUGAGUGUUGUAGUGGUGUUUGUAGUAUUUUACUCGGGCCUACAAAGUAUAAAUUCCUUACUAUGGUGAUAUCAGUUGCUCCUCUCGGGGUUGUGGUUUUUUCCGUAUUCGGAAGGGUUUUCCACAUAAAAAA